This is a long non-coding RNA of Boleophthalmus pectinirostris (great blue-spotted mudskipper), 1904 nucleotides long. RefSeq lists it as uncharacterized. NCBI's taxonomy places the organism in Eukaryota, Metazoa, Chordata, Actinopteri, Gobiiformes, Gobiidae. The transcript has 3 exons. The record is from RefSeq and is a predicted model, not a curated record.
GAAGAGUGGUCUACGGUCCUCUCCAGACGCGAUAACAUCACUGCGGUUACGAAUUGGCAAGGUGGAUAGAUGCCAAAUAUGUGGUACAUGCUGUUUUGUUUAGCAUUGCUACAUUAAACAGCUAAUAUUUUGAAUAUGUGGCUCUCCAUUCAGAUGCACUACUGUUUUAGUUGGAACAGGGAAAGCCCCGCACGCAUUUCUAUUCAGACAACGUGCCUGUGUGCCAUGAACGAUGCCUGAAAAAGGGCAGCGAGAUUUAAAAAGCACCGACUGCAGGAGAGAUUUCUGAGGAGCAGAAGAAUACAUCGGUGCCACUGCAAGGAUUCGGCAACAGUCAAGUCACCGCAGUGGAGAGGAGCACAGCCACUGUCUCCAGUCCAUCAGUGUUGUCGAUACCAGUAGACCAAUGGCACUUGAUGGAGACAGCACACACAGAAGCACCGGUCCAGUCCCAUAAUAACAACAGUGUGGAGUGUGCCUUCAGGCCCUGGACAAAGCCAUUAUAACACAACAAUCAUACAUCAGGUGAUCAGGCGGAAAGAGGACGCUGUAGGCUCUAUCUCUGUCUCUCCGAUUACAGAUUAAACCACCGAACAUACGUCAUACCCACAUCAAGCUUUCUAAAAGCUCAGCCCACAGUGGAAAGGGUGGGUUGAAUAUGCACACCUGCACAGCCACAGCACGCAGCUAAAUGAGUGGCAGUGGCAGACGCAUACAGCCUUGGCUUAACACAUACACACAUUAAAUGAGCAGGACAAAGCGAGCGGGACAGAUGCUGCCCCUGCCCCACUUCCUCUAGUCGUCACACAGCCAGCUGGAAAGAACAUGGGAUUUGGAGCUGAUUGGUUUUGUCUUUUUUUGUUGUCGUGACCUCUGUGAACCGCUGUCACCGUUUUCUUAACAUGGCAUCUUCACUUCUUUCUUAUCUAUAAAAAUCAGUUUUCAAUACAGACCACUGGGCAUGCUUUGACUGCUUCUCAAAAACUGAAAAUUAUUAGCAUUUUUUUCAAUCUCUCCCUGGACACAGCAAAAAAAAGGCUCUCACCGGGACUGUGUCGUGACUUUUUUAUUUGAGCUGUUUUAAAUGCAUUGCUUCUGCCAUUAAGAGUUGAAAAAGUUUGUAUCUGGCAAAAGUUUAAUGAAACCAUUCUUAACUGCUAUUCACCAGGAUCCUUACCAAACAAGCAAGAACAAUAGAUUGAAUAGGACUGCAGUAGUAAAGCAAAACCUUGAGAAAACGGGAAGAUAUAAAGUGUGGUAACAUUAAGAGACAGAAGAGGAAUAGUCAAGAGAAACCUCAAAGAAGUCAGAUCAAACGAAAACAUGAGGAUAAAAAAACAUAGCCUGAGAAAGUUUUUUUCCUUGUAACUCUCUUGUAGUCAUGAUGGAACACCCUUGGAGCCAGACGUCCUCCUUGUGUCUCCUCCUCCUCGGUCGCCCCCUCCCCUCAGCCCUCCCUCUCUCCUCGACUGUGCUCUAGUCCGCACGCUCUCCACAUCGCUCCAGUGCAUCGACAGCCACUGAACACCACACACACCGCUCCUGCAGCUUCUACAGAUGGCUGCCAAACUUAAGAGGAACAGCUUCUAUCAACACAGCACACUGGAUUUGGAUGAGAAUGAACAUCGGAGCUAGCCAGAGGGAAAAGAAAGAGACGAGGUGCAGUGGAGGCCAGAAAGGGGAGCGAGAGAAGAAGCGUAAUUAAAGGCAGAGUUCAGGAGUGGAAAAAUCUGGAGUGGAGCUUAUCUGCAGGACAGCUCGCGUGGGGCAGGCAUUGUGGGUGAUCCCGUGGUGCACAGUGUGAGCCAGGGGGUGGUCCCAGUCACAGUGAGCAGGUCUUGGUGGUGGCUCAGUGGAGGCCGUGGGCUCAGGACAGUGGCAGGCUCAGGGGUGGGGGCAUGGCC